ACAUUUAUUUUUGGUUUCAGCUCUUUAAAGUCCAGUCGCGCUCUAAAUUUAUUGCAAGAUUAAUUUGUUUUUAAAAGUUGCAAAGACUCAUUCAAGAAUAUCGCUAUCCAAGAAAACACAAACAGUGAUGAUCUCACGAUAGUUAAUUGGAGGAAGGACGGUCAAUAAUAACUUUAAAUGCGCGUCACUACUUGUUUACUCAGUAGAAAACAUUUUCUUUUAAGACUCUCGGUUAGUUUGUUCAUUCGACAAGAGGACGUUUUUUUCCCGUUUCAGCACAUUUCAAGGCUUUAAAUACGGAAUCUUCACGAUGGCUCAUCGCGUACUACAGUUAUGCGUGAGACGGUACGUUUCUGUAUUUCUUCUCUCUGCCAUCAUCAACACGGUCUGCUCCGUCACCCUUUAUUCUGUUCCCGAGGAAAUGGAGGAAGGAUCUGUUGUCGGUAAUUUUGCAACUGAUUUGGAAUUAGACGUGAAGACUCUGAAUGAAAGAGAAAUGCGCGUCGACGCUGUAGGCAACAAAAAAUAUCUAGACAUCAACAAGGACACGGGAGAGCUCUUUAUUUUGGAAAGGAUAGAUAGAGAGUUUUUAUGCCCGUCAAAAACCACCACAUCUUGCUUUCUUAGAUUAGAGGCUAUAAUUGAAAAGCCAAUACGAAUAUUUGAUAUUGAGGUCGAAAUUAUGGAUAUUAAUGAUAACGCUCCUCAUUUUCGACGGGGGACAGUGAUAUUGGACAUCUCUGAAUCAACUUCCACUGGAGAGAGAUUCUCUCUGAGUAACGCUGCAGAUCCAGAUAUUGGAACGAAUUCUGUGAAAAAUUACCAUCUGAGCUCAAGUGAACAUUUCUCCAUUGACAUUCAGACCGGAAGAGAUGGGACGAAGUUUGCAGAUUUGAUUUUGAAAAAAGCUUUAGACAGAGAGCAGCAGGCUGUUCAUAAUCUAAUACUGACUGCUGUGGACGGUGGAGAUCCCACGCGCACAGGUACAGCCAGCAUCAUUGUUCGCGUGCUUGAUGUGAACGACAACACCCCUUCAUUUGACAAAGACAAAUACGUCGUAGAGGUGAUGGAAAACUCCCCGAUUGGAAGUCUAGUAAUCAAACUAAACGCCACUGAUUUAGAUGAAGGGUCCAAUUCUGACAUUGUUUAUUCAUAUAGUUUGUAUACAUCAGAGAAAACACAGGAUAUGUUUAACCUGAAUCCAGAAAAUGGUGAGAUCAGAGUGAAAGAGAUGAUUAAUUACGAAGACGUUAAACUUUUUGAAAUGGAGGUUAUUGCCAGUGAUAAGGGGCCUAACACCUUAUCUGGACAGUGUAAACUGACAAUACAGGUGACAGAUAUGAAUGAUAAUCACCCAGAAUUAUCUAUUGAAUCAUCCCACAGUCUAGUUGUUGAAAACAUAGAAUUGGACACAGUGAUAGCUGUAGUUAGUGUGAGUGAUAAGGACUCAGGUGAUAAUGGAGUGGUUGAUCUUCAUAUUCCAGAUAAUAUGCCUUUCAAACUGAGAAAAUCCUCUGAUAACUAUUAUGAAUUAGUGGUGUCAGAGCCGUUAGACCGUGAGAAGGUUCCAGAAUAUGACGUGACCUUCACUGUGACAGACAGAGGUUCUCCUCCUUUAUCUGACAAUGAAACUAUGACUUUAGAGCUGCUGGAUGUUAAUGACAAUGUUCCACAGUUCCCUCAGUCAUUUUAUACUAUACGUGUGAUGGAGAAUAACGCACCUGGGGCCUUGCUGGGUUCACUCACUGCCUUUGACCCUGACCUCCAUGAAAACCAGUAUCUAGUUUAUUUCAUCCUAGAGAAGGAGAUAGCCAACACCUCUAUGUCCAUGUUGUUCUCCAUCAAUCCAGAGAACGGUAAUCUUUACGCUCUAAAAACCUUUGACUAUGAGAUCGAGAAGGAGUUUCUCUUCCACAUCGAGGCCAGAGACUCUGGCUCUCCUCCACUCAGCAGUAACGUGACCGUCCACAUCAUUAUUGUGGACCAGAAUGACAAUGCUCCGGUUAUUGUCUCUCCGUGGCGCGCGCACGGCUCAGUGGUGGAGGAAAAGAUCCCCAGAUCCACAGAUAAAGGCUCUCUGGUUGCCAAGGUGAUAGCAUUAGACAUAGACUCGGUGCACAACUCUCGGAUCACCUACCAGUUUCUACAGGUGACUGACGCCACCUUGUUCAGUCUGGACCAGUACAACGGAGAGAUCCGGACUAUGAGGAUGUUCAGUUACAGAGAUCCGCGCCACCAGAGACUGGUUGUUGUUGCCAAGGACAACGGGGAGCCUGCUCUGUCUGCUACAGUCACCAUUAAGCUGUCCACAGUGGAGACUGCCGUUAAGGCUGACAUGACGUAGGUGCCUCUAGAGUAUGACAUCUUGUCAGACCUAAACCUGUAUUUGGUGAUCGGUCUGGGCUCAGUCUCAUUUCUCCUGCUCAUCACCAUACUGAUCAUCAUCGUGCUCAAGUGCAGGCACCAGGGCUCAAGGGCUCCAGAUACAAUGUGUCAAGUACCAUUGACAGAGACUAGAGACUCAGCAGCUUCAACUCCACAGUACCCUAAAUGAGGGAAGUCCACUCUGCAGUUGGAGGCAUCCACCACCAGCAGCAGCAGUUCCACAUAAGGCCACACCUCCAGCUGCACACUGGAUCUAUGCUGACAGGAAAGCUUCACAGAGGAAAAGAAAAACCCCUGCCCCCACCCCCACCUCCCAGUGUCCAUCCUGCUCGGUCUGGUCCCUGUCCCUCACAGUGUGUAGUUGUCAUGCUUCAACACCAAACGGACUAUGGUGGCUAAUCAAAGACACAACCCUCCCCCUCUCUUUCUUUAAGCACAUAAAAAGCCAAUCAACAAUGCCUCUCUGUCCAUUCAAUAUGCAUGAUAAGACAGCAUGGCUUCAAACACACUCCAAGACCUUCAUACAAAAAAAGAGCAAAAUUCAAGAGGAGAUACUCGUAAAGAAGCAGACUGUAUAAAAAAAUUGCACCAGUGGAUAUUCUAAGAAGCCACAACAAGGACUAAUAGAGUGGACACAGGAAUGUUAAAUGCCUUUAAGAGACUGUUUUCCCUCUCUAAAAAAGAAACACAUGUUGGAUAUUACAUUUUUAACCUCUGUGCUUUGUCAUGCUCCAUAACAGCAUUGAUGUAUUCAGUUAACCGAGAAGUUUAACAGCACAAUUAACUAAAUGUGAGAAAAGCACCAAUCUACGAUUUUCAAGUGUGAAACUAAAGGGAAUCAGUAUUUUAUAAAUGUGGUAGCUUUUAGUGGUUUUUGGUUUUGUACUUUGUGCUUUAUAUGUGAGCUAGGCCUAAAUGUAUGAAUGAGAGUGCUAAGAGAUUACGUUUACAAGUACAUCAAACCGAUAAGAGCGAGGCCUUUAGCCAUUAUGUGUCUGCCUUUCUGUUGUUUUUGCAUGGAAUAAUCAAAGUACUUUGAUAGUUUUAAAUAUUUAAUGAUAUUGAGCAAUCCAUGUUCUGCAGUUAGGCAUCACUGUUAAGUCUUUUUCAAAACAAGGUGGAAGAUUACUUUUCUAAUGGGACCACAAUAAGAAGUACAGCAGUGUAAGACUUUAUUAUUACCAAGUCCUAAGGUGUUUGGGGGGGCAACAGAUCUGUAAUCUCAUUCUUUCUUCCUAGUUUCUAGGCAAGAGGAAAAUAGCUAGCAGCAGUGGACAGAUUUAUAAGCGUCUAGAAAGUAAAGUGUACAGUGUGCUUGAAUGUUACAUGCACUUGGACACUACUGGAGAAUAUGUGAGUCUAGGUGAUAAAGGUAAACCAAGUGAACACAGUGAGUCUCUAAGAAUGGAUUGGUUAAUAUCUCAUUAUGACUAUUGUAUACAGAACACAAACAUGAUCAUGUAUUUUCACUUUUUUUUUUUAAUUUUUAAACCCAAACUCUGGAUGAUGUUCCUUAACUGUAAUAUCUUCUGAGAUUGUGUGAUAAGUUGAAAACUCUGAACUGAACAUGAAGACUUAAUGUUUACGUUACAAUACUGAAUCAACAUAGCUGUGAUUGAUUUCACUCAAUGAAAGUUGUGCUCAUGUGUAUUACUGACUACUUUGUGUACCUGCAUAUGCAACGCAGAAAUAGGGAUACAGAUAUGACUGACAUGUACAGUAUAUCAUAUGUCUGUAUCUAUACAUAUGCCUUUCCAUUCCAGUACCAAUGCUGAACUUGAACAAAAGCAGUGUAACUCAUGUGCCAUCAGAUUUAUGGGCCAGCUAAUAUGUGAAACAGCAAAUCAAUCAGACAUUACGUAGUCAAACUCUUUAGCACAGCUAACAUUGCAUUACCUGUAUAAAGUUCUAAUGUGUUACAGGCAAACAUAUACAGUAAGUGCUUUUGUACAAUAGUACUUUUAUGGUGCAGUAUGUGGUAACUUGUGUAAUGUAAGCCCAUUGUAUGCUAUAGUCUGGUCUGUAUGAUCUAUUAAAUACAAAAACCAAAUAC
Toxotes jaculatrix (banded archerfish) is the source of this 4438-nucleotide RNA transcript. It is a transcript of the gene named protocadherin alpha-C2-like, with no coding region annotated. NCBI's taxonomy places the organism in Eukaryota, Metazoa, Chordata, Actinopteri, Toxotidae. The transcript is spliced from 3 exons. The record is from RefSeq and is a predicted model, not a curated record.